This 506-nucleotide ribosomal RNA is filed under the name uncultured Alphaproteobacteria bacterium. RNAcentral describes it as "bacterial SSU rRNA". It matches the Rfam family "Bacterial small subunit ribosomal RNA", at positions 384 to 907 of the family's 1533-position model. The record is from RNAcentral. Lineage: Bacteria; Pseudomonadati; Pseudomonadota; Alphaproteobacteria.
UGAUCCAGCCAUGCCGCGUGAGUGAUGAAGGCCCUAUGGUUGUAAAGCUCUUUCAACAGUGAAGAUAAUGACCGUGACCGCAGAAGAAGCCCCGGCUAACUCCGUGCCAGCACCCGCGGUCAUACGGACGGGGCUCGCGUUGUUCGGAAUUACUGGGCGUUAAUCGCGCUUAGGCGGGUUGUUAAGUUCCGGGUGAAAUCCCAAGGCUCAACCCCGGAACUGCCUUUCUUACUGGUAAUCUUGAGUUCGAGAGAGGUGAUUGGAAUUCCGAGUGUAGAGGUGAAAUUCUUAAAUGUUCCGAAGAACACCAGUGGCGAAAGCGGCUCAAUGGCUCGAUACUGACGCUUAGGUGCGAAAGCGUGGGGAGCAAACACGAUUAGAUACCCUGGUAAUCCACUCCGAUAACCAUGGAAGGCUACGCGUCAGGUUAUUUUCACUUUGGUGGCGCAAUUAACGCAUUAAGCUUCCCGCCUGGGGAGUACGGUGGCCCAAUUAAAACUCCAUGA